This 497-nucleotide ribosomal RNA is filed under the name uncultured bacterium. RNAcentral's name for it is "partial 16S ribosomal RNA". It matches the Rfam family "Bacterial small subunit ribosomal RNA", at positions 28 to 507 of the family's 1533-position model. The record is from RNAcentral.
GAUGAACGCUGGCGGCGUGCCUAAUACAUGCAAGUCGAGCGAACAGACGAGGAGCUUGCUCCUCUGACGUUAGCGGCGGACGGGUGAGUAACACGUGGAUAACCUACCUAUAAGACUGGGAUAACUUCGGGAAACCGGAGCUAAUACCGGAUAACAUGUUGAACCGCAUGGUUUAACAGUGAAAGACGGUCUUGCUGUCACUUAUAGAUGGAUCCGCGCCGCAUUAGCUAGUUGGUAAGGUAACGGCUUACCAAGGCAACGAUGCGUAGCCGACCUGAGAGGGUGAUCGGCCACACUGGAGCUGAAACACGGUCCAGACUCCUACGGGAGGCAGCAGUAGGGAAUCUUCCGCAAUGGGCGAAAGCCUGACGGAGCAACGCCGCGUGAGUGAAGAAGGUCUUCGGAUCGUAAAACUCUGUUAUUAGGGAAGAACAAAUGUGUAAGUAACUAUGCACGUCUUGACGGUACCUAAUCAGAAAGCCACGGCUAACUACGUG